GACGAACGCUGGCGGCGUGCCUAAUACAUGCAAGUUGAGCGCUGAAGGUUGGUACUUGUACCAACUGGAUGAGCAGCGAACGGGUGAGUAACGCGUGGGGAAUCUGCCUUUGAGCGGGGGACAACAUUUGGAAACGAAUGCUAAUACCGCAUAAAAACUUUAAACACAAGUUUUAAGUUUGAAAGAUGCAAUUGCAUCACUCAAAGAUGAUCCCGCGUUGUAUUAGCUAGUUGGUGAGGUAAAGGCUCACCAAGGCGAUGAUACAUAGCCGACCUGAGAGGGUGGUCGGCCACAUUGGGACUGGGACACGGCCCAAACUCCUACGGGAGGCAGCAGUAGGGAAACUUCGGCAAUGGACGAAAGUCUGACCGAGCAACGCCGCGUGAGGGAAGAAGGGUUUCGGAUCGUAAAACUCUGUUGGUAGAGAAGAACGUUGGUGAGAGUGGAAAGCUCAUCAAGUGACGGUAACUACCCAGAAAGGGACGGCUAACUACGUG
This 497-nucleotide ribosomal RNA is filed under the name uncultured bacterium. RNAcentral's name for it is "partial 16S ribosomal RNA". It matches the Rfam family "Bacterial small subunit ribosomal RNA", at positions 28 to 507 of the family's 1533-position model. The record is from RNAcentral.